This 362-nucleotide ribosomal RNA is filed under the name uncultured bacterium. RNAcentral's name for it is "partial 16S ribosomal RNA". It matches the Rfam family "Bacterial small subunit ribosomal RNA", at positions 338 to 697 of the family's 1533-position model. The record is from RNAcentral.
CCUACGGGAGGCAGCAGUGAGGAAUAUUGGUCAAUGGACGGAAGUCUGAACCAGCCAUGCCGCGUGCAGGAAGACGGCUCUAUGAGUUGUAAACUGUUUCUGUACAAGGGUAAACCUGAAUACGUGUAUUCUGCUGAAAGUACUGUACGCAUAAGGAUCGGCUAACUCCGUGCCAGCAGCCGCGGUAAUACGGAGGAUCCAAGCGUUAUCCGGAUUUAUUGGGUGUAAAGGGUACGUAGGCGGAUUGAUAAGUUGGAGGUGAAAUGUCCGGGCUUAACUUGGGAACUGCCUCUAAUACUGGUGAGCUAGAGAGUAGAUGCGGUAGGCAGAAUGUAUGGUGUAGCGGUGAAAUGCUUAGAGAU